This 274-nucleotide ribosomal RNA is filed under the name uncultured bacterium. RNAcentral describes it as "partial 16S ribosomal RNA". It matches the Rfam family "Bacterial small subunit ribosomal RNA", at positions 523 to 796 of the family's 1533-position model. The record is from RNAcentral.
AUACGUAUGGGGCAAGCGUUAUCCGGAUUCAUUGGGCGUAAAGCGCGUGUAGGCGGCUUGUUAAGUCAGAUGUGAAAACCGGGGGCUUAACCCGCGGCGUGCAUCUGAAACUGGCAGGCUUGAGUCUGGUAGAGGAAAGUGGAAUUCCUAGUGUAGCGGUGAAAUGCGCAGUUAUUAGGAGGAACACCAGUGGCGAAGGCGGCUUUCUGGGCCACGACUGACGCUGAGACGCGAAAGCUAGGGGAGCAAACAGGAGUAGAAACCCCAGUAGUCC